This 467-nucleotide ribosomal RNA is filed under the name uncultured bacterium. RNAcentral describes it as "partial 16S ribosomal RNA". It matches the Rfam family "Bacterial small subunit ribosomal RNA", at positions 28 to 506 of the family's 1533-position model. The record is from RNAcentral.
GACGAACGCUGGCGGCGUGCUUAACACAUGCAAGUCGAACGGAAAGGCCCUGCUUUUGUGGGGUGCUCGAGUGGCGAACGGGUGAGUAACACGUGAGUAACCUGCCCUUGACUUUGGGAUAACUUCAGGAAACUGGGGCUAAUACCGGAUAGGAGCUCCUGCUGCAUGGUGGGGGUUGGAAAGUUUCGGCGGUUGGGGAUGGACUCGCGGCUUAUCAGCUUGUUGGUGGGGUAGUGGCUUACCAAGGCUUUGACGGGUAGCCGGCCUGAGAGGGUGACCGGCCACAUUGGGACUGAGAUACGGCCCAGACUCCUACGGGAGGCAGCAGUGGGGAAUAUUGCACAAUGGGCGGAAGCCUGAUGCAGCAACGCCGCGUGCGGGAUGACGGCCUUCGGGUUGUAAACCGCUUUCGCCUGUGACGAAGCGUGAGUGACGGCAAUGGGGAAAGAAGCACCGGCUAACUACGU